Molecule: ribosomal RNA, 589 nt
Filed under: Bifidobacterium longum
Lineage: Bacteria; Bacillati; Actinomycetota; Actinomycetes; Bifidobacteriales; Bifidobacteriaceae
Description: bacterial SSU rRNA
Rfam family: Bacterial small subunit ribosomal RNA
Source: RNAcentral
GCAACGCGAAGAACCUUACCUGGUCUUGACAUCCACAGAACUUUCCAGAGAUGGAUUGGUGCCUUCGGGAACUGUGAGACAGGUGCUGCAUGGCUGUCGUCAGCUCGUGUUGUGAAAUGUUGGGUUAAGUCCCGCAACGAGCGCAACCCUUAUCCUUUGUUGCCAGCGGUCCGGCCGGGAACUCAAAGGAGACUGCCAGUGAUAAACUGGAGGAAGGUGGGGAUGACGUCAAGUCAUCAUGGCCCUUACGACCAGGGCUACACACGUGCUACAAUGGCGCAUACAAAGAGAAGCGACCUCGCGAGAGCAAGCGGACCUCAUAAAGUGCGUCGUAGUCCGGAUUGGAGUCUGCAACUCGACUCCAUGAAGUCGGAAUCGCUAGUAAUCGUGGAUCAGAAUGCCACGGUGAAUACGUUCCCGGGCCUUGUACACACCGCCCGUCACACCAUGGGAGUGGGUUGCAAAAGAAGUAGGUAGCUUAACCUUCGGGAGGGCGCUUACCACUUUGUGAUUCAUGACUGGGGUGAAGUCGUAACAAGGUAACCGUAGGGGAACCUGCGGUUGGAUCACCUCCUUACCUUAAAGAAGC